UAAAGAUGCUGAAGGACGGGUGCAAUAUACAAAUCUAAUCUCAAGCAUGAACUGGAGGGAAUACCCUCUCCCAGCUUCAGAAGUUGCACAGUACCCCAGCAAGGGAUGGAAUGGAGAACCUCCAACUCAGCCAGUCAAGGUGAUCAACUAUAUAGCUUUGAUAGAGGAUCUGUUUGGCAAGCAGGAGUGAAGCAUGGAUGUUACUCCCAGCAACAUUGUAGAAAGGAUUAUCUGAAACCACAACUAGGUCAAUAGUUAUUUUCUUACAAUUAGUGCAGCUCAAAAGGCACACUGUUGACAUUGACGCAAUAGAAAUCAGCCAAAAGUGUAAAUGGAGGAUAAGAGGUUCACUAAUUGGCUCUAAAAAGAUGCAUUUGUUAUGAUGGAAAUGUUUGUCUCAGGUCUGAUAGAUUAAUUAACUAAAAAUAAAUUGGUACAUUUACAACA
Long non-coding RNA from Callorhinchus milii (elephant shark), 447 nucleotides. RefSeq lists it as uncharacterized. The record is from RefSeq and is a predicted model, not a curated record. Lineage: Eukaryota; Metazoa; Chordata; Chondrichthyes; Chimaeriformes; Callorhinchidae. The transcript has 2 exons.